GUCGGAGUAGCAGAAUUGGAAUAUGCGCCGGAUUCAAGUCCCGGUAUUUGUGGGUUCAAGUCCCAUCUCCGAUA
RNAcentral lists this transfer RNA (74 nucleotides) under Enterocloster bolteae. RNAcentral describes it as "[Clostridium] bolteae tRNA-Leu". It matches the Rfam family "tRNA". From Rfam's summary of the family: Transfer RNA (tRNA) molecules are approximately 80 nucleotides in length. Their secondary structure includes four short double-helical elements and three loops (D, anti-codon, and T loops). Lineage: Bacteria; Bacillati; Bacillota; Clostridia; Lachnospirales; Lachnospiraceae. RNAcentral also lists the same sequence under 1 other name. The record is from RNAcentral.